RNAcentral lists this ribosomal RNA (500 nucleotides) under uncultured bacterium. Its description in RNAcentral is "partial 16S ribosomal RNA". It matches the Rfam family "Bacterial small subunit ribosomal RNA", at positions 30 to 523 of the family's 1533-position model. The record is from RNAcentral.
AUUGAACGCUGGCGGAAUGCUUUACACAUGCAAGUCGAACGGCAGCACGGACUUCGGUCUGGUGGCGAGUGGCGAACGGGUGAGUAAUGUAUCGGGACGUGCCCAGUCGUGGGGGAUAACGUAGUGAAAAUUACGCUAAUACCGCAUACGAUCUAUGGAUGAAAGCGGGGGAUCGCAAGACCUCGCGCGAUUGGAGCGGCCGAUAUCAGAUUAGGCAGUUGGUGGGGUAAAGGCCCACCAAGCCAACGAUCUGUAGCUGGUCUGAGAGGACGACCAGCCACACUGGAACUGAGACACGGUCCAGACUCCUACGGGAGGCAGCAGUGGGGAAUUUUGGACAAUGGGCGAAAGCCUGAUCCAGCCAUUCCGCGUGCAGGAUGAAGGCCCUCGGGUUGUAAACUGCUUUUGUACAGAACGAAAAGGUUUCUACUAAUACUAGGAGCUCAUGACGGUACUGUAAGAAUAAGCACCGGCUAACUACGUGCCAGCCGCCGCAGUAA